GAUGAACGCUGGCGGCGUGCCUAAUACAUGCAAGUCGAGCGAACAGACGAGGAGCUUGCUCCUCUGACGUUAGCGGCGGACGGGUGAGUAACACGUGGAUAACCUACCUAUAAGACUGGGAUAACUUCGGGAAACCGGAGCUAAUACCGGAUAACAUGUUGAACCGCAUGGUUUAACAGUGAAAGACGGUCUUGCUGUCACUUAUAGAUGGAUCCGCGCCGCAUUAGCUAGUUGGUAAGGUAACGGCUUACCAAGGCAACGAUGCGUAGCCAACCUGAGAGGGUGAUCGGCCACACUGGAACUGAGACACGGUCCAGACUCCUACGGGAGGCAGCAGUAGGGAAUCUUCCGCAAUGGGCGAAAGCCUGACGGAGCAACGCCGCGUGAGUGAAGAAGGUCUUCGGAUCGUAAAACUCUGUUAUUAGGGAAGAACAAAUGUGUAAGUAACUAUGCACGUCUUGACGGUACCUAAUCAGAAAGCCACGGCUAACUACGUG
This 497-nucleotide ribosomal RNA is filed under the name uncultured bacterium. Its description in RNAcentral is "partial 16S ribosomal RNA". It matches the Rfam family "Bacterial small subunit ribosomal RNA", at positions 28 to 507 of the family's 1533-position model. The record is from RNAcentral.